UAUAAACGUAAAAUACUCAGCAGCAGGAGGUCCAGAGAUUCCGAAUUGUGAUAGCGGUAAUGGCCAUAGGCAUUGGCAUGGCAGUUACCGGUAUGUACCCGCACACCCCGAGACUCUUUUCAUUUAUGCAUCCCACGCGCCACUUCUCACUUACUGCUUUCACUACUAAGUUUCGACUUCGAGCUUCUUCCUCUUCCACGGCUUUCAUUAACACCGACUCCAAUCCAACAGAUUCCAUUUUAGUUGAGAAGGAAGUCAGCCAGAGCAGCAAUUUAUUGGCUUGUCCUGUAUGUUAUGACUCCUUGACAUGGACCGGUGAUCUUGGUUUGUCCGUAGAUACUAUCCCUGGAUCUAGUUUACAAUGUAGCACCUGUCAGAAAACAUAUGUUGGUAACCAAACACAUCUUGAUCUCACAGCAACGAGUGGAGCUAAGAGCUAUGGUGAAUUGAUGCCGGCUUCCACAGAACUUUUCAGGGUGCCAUUGAUAUCAUUUCUCUAUGAGAGGGGCUGGCGUCAAACCUUUUCUGUAUGGGGUGGUUUUCCAGGUCCUGAGAAAGAGUUUGAACUGAUGAAGGGUUUCUUAAAGCCAGUAUUGGGUGGAAAUAUCAUUGAUGCUAGUUGUGCAAGUGGAUUAUUUUCAAGAUUAUUUGCAAAAAGUGGACUGUUUUCUUUGGUUGUUGCUCUAGACUAUUCAGAAAACAUGUUGCAGCAAUGUUAUGAGUUCAUUCAGCAGGAAGAGAACUUUCCAAAAGAGAACUUCAUCUUGGUUAGAGCAGACAUAUCUAGACUCCCUUUUGUUUCAAGUUCUGUUGAUGCUGUGCAUGCAGGCGCAGCUCUCCACUGUUGGCCUUCACCAUCAGCUGCUGUAGCUGAAAUAAGUCGUGUUUUACGUCCUGGAGGUGUCUUUGUGGCGACCACCUACAUACUUGAUGGGCCUUUUACUGUUGUCCCAUUUUUAAGUACACUACGUCAGAAUAUAAUGCAAGUAUCCGGGAGCUACAUCUUUCUCUCUGAACGUGAACUUAAAGAUCUCUGCCGGGUGGGUGGUCUGGUUGGAUUUAAAUGCAUCAGAAACGGGCUUUUUGUGAUGAUUUCUGCUACAAAGCCCAGUUAAGGUUUGAGUUUCCUGGUGCAUUCUGUGCUGCAUUCUAAACACAUUUUACUGAAGCCUUUAGUUCUUUACAUAAUCAAUUUAUUUAAAUCGUUAGCAGAUAAAAAUGCUGCAUGUUGAUCGGUUAAAAGUUUUAGUUUGACUUAUUACGAUAAAAAUAGGCUUCAUUUUUGUCUUACAUUAGGCACAUAUCAUGAGUUGGGAAGAUCACCACCACAAAUGCAAAAGUAAGGAGUUAUGAUAGAUGGUGAAAAAAGUGUUCAAGUCAUGAUAUGUGAGAAAUGUGAGGCGAAAUAUAUGUAAAUAUCAUUACUACUUCAUUUAACAUUCAACUUUCUUGCCUUUUUGCAUUUGAUUCAUAUAUCACAAAAUUAUCACAGCUCUGUCGCUGGUAAUUGGAGUAAUAAGAAUAUACUUUGCUAUUCAACGUAUUAACCUUUAGAGGAUCUAUACAUGAUUAAACUGCAUAUAAACAUGGGAAGUUCUUCCCUCAAAGAAAGUUCUGGGGAAUUCUCUGCCACUGAAAACAUCUUGACUUAACCUCUCUUGAGCCAAGCAAUCUCAGUAGGCUGCAAAACCGCUAAAACUAUUCACCUAAAUUCGAGAAUGUCAACUGUCCGUUAGAACAAUGUGUUAUUGAUAGGAACUGAAUAAAUCUGACCAGAAAAUGGGACCUAAACAGUAUGUAUUGUAUUGCUAUACUGAUAUCAGAAUGAUAUCAGAGCUUGUAUAUGGUGUUUAUAAUCGGAAAACAUGAAAAUGAAGGAUA
RNA transcript from Gastrolobium bilobum, 1881 nucleotides. RefSeq lists it as uncharacterized. The record is from RefSeq and is a predicted model, not a curated record. Lineage: Eukaryota; Viridiplantae; Streptophyta; Magnoliopsida; Fabales; Fabaceae. The transcript is spliced from 9 exons.